GUUCCUAAUUCCUGAAACCCAUCUAAAAUUAAAACCACCAAAAAGCCAAAAGGAUAAAAGUAUUUGAGUCUUGAACCUCUUAGUAUCUCUGUUUUACUAGUUAUAAUUUGUUUUCAGUUUUUGUUAUUUCCAUUCAUUCAUAUAGAAAAAGAAAAAAAAAAACACUGUAUACAAAAAAAAACAAACCAAAAUCUGAAGGAAAAAAAACGGUUAUCUCAUAUAUUGUAUGUAUUUUUAAUUUGGUACAUACUCUGUUGAUUUCAAAGGUAUUUUUAAUAUUCAGAGGUAUGCAUGCAUUAUUUUGUUCCCCUUUUAAUAAUUUUUUUUUUUUGAAACGUUCUCUCCUUCACUAAUAGAGAAUAAAUCCUUGAGUUUUUUCAUUUUGUUUGCAGAUCAUUUUAGUUUCUGUUUUUUGAAGCCAUUUUGCAUCACUCAAUAUAAUACAGGUAAGAGUUCCAAACUCUUCAUUGUUUUGACCAUUUUUUAAUAUGUCUGCUUGGUAAGCGUGUGUCUAUUUGAUGCAACA
RNAcentral lists this long non-coding RNA (526 nucleotides) under Trifolium pratense (red clover). RNAcentral's name for it is "long non-coding RNA (TPRA_LNC003651)". The record is from RNAcentral. Lineage: Eukaryota; Viridiplantae; Streptophyta; Magnoliopsida; Fabales; Fabaceae.